This 281-nucleotide long non-coding RNA is filed under the name Mytilus galloprovincialis (Mediterranean mussel). The record is from RNAcentral. Lineage: Eukaryota; Metazoa; Mollusca; Bivalvia; Mytilida; Mytilidae.
GUGCUUUAACAUUUGGCAUCCAUCGUCUCAGCUGUUCAGAAUUACUCAGGUUACUUUUUGGUCCCGCGAGCAGGGUGUUGAAUUUUUUUUUUCUGUUUUUAACUGAAAUACAUUAUUUUGGGAAAACUAAUCAGGAAUGAAGUCGACUAAAGAUACGACUGUCGUUAGGAGACAAUUUUGAAAACUUAGGUGUAUAAUUGUUCAUGUUGUCUUUUGUUUUUAUAUUAUGGUUUAUUUGGUAAAUGUAUAGUAAAAUAGGUUUGAUGUUGUCAAGACUGAUA